This 1346-nucleotide ribosomal RNA is filed under the name uncultured bacterium. Its description in RNAcentral is "partial 16S ribosomal RNA". It matches the Rfam family "Bacterial small subunit ribosomal RNA", at positions 28 to 1381 of the family's 1533-position model. The record is from RNAcentral.
GACGAACGCUGGCGGCGUGCUUAACACAUGCAAGUCGAACGGAAAGGCCCUGCUUUUGUGGGGUGCUCGAGUGGCGAACGGGUGAGUAACACGUGAGUAGCCUGCCCUUGACUUUGGGAUAACUUCAGGAAACUGGGGCUAAUACCGGAUAGGAGCUCCUGCUGCAUGGUGGGGGUUGGAAAGUUUCGGCGGUUGGGGAUGGACUCGCGGCUUAUCAGCUUGUUGGUGGGGUAGUGGCUUACCAAGGCUUUGACGGGUAGCCGGCCUGAGAGGGUGACCGGCCACAUUGGGACUGAGAUACGGCCCAGACUCCUACGGGAGGCAGCAGUGGGGAAUAUUGCACAAUGGGCGGAAGCCUGAUGCAGCAACGCCGCGUGCGGGAUGACGGCCUUCGGGUUGUAAACCGCUUUCGCCUGUGACGAAGCGUGAUUGACGGUAAUGGGUAAAGAAGCACCGGCUAACUACGUGCCAGCAGCCGCGGUGAUACGUAGGGUGCGAGCGUUGUCCGGAUUUAUUGGGCGUAAAGGGCUCGUAGGUGGUUGAUCGCGUCGGAAGUGUAAUCUUGGGGCUUAACCCUGAGCGUGCUUUCGAUACGGGUUGACUUGAGGAAGGUAGGGGAGAAUGGAAUUCCUGGUGGAGCGGUGGAAUGCGCAGAUAUCAGGAGGAACACCAGUGGCGAAGGCGGUUCUUUGGGCCUUUCCUGACGCUGAGGAGCGAAAGCGUGGGGAGCGAACAGGCUUAGAUACCCUGGUAGUCCACGCUGUAAACGGUGGGUACUAGGUGUGGGGUCCAUUCCACGGGUUCCGUGCCGUAGCUAACGCUUUAAGUACCCCGCCUGGGGAGUACGGCCGCAAGGCUAAAACUCAAAGGAAUUGACGGGGCCCCGCACAAGCGGCGGAGCAUGCGGAUUAAUUCGAUGCAACGCGUAGAACCUUACCUGGGUUUGACAUGGAUCGGGAGUGCUCAGAGAUGGGUGUGCCUCUUUUGGGGUCGGUUCACAGGUGGUGCAUGGCUGUCGUCAGCUCGUGUCGUGAGAUGUUGGGUUAAGUCCCGCAACGAGCGCAACCCUUGUUCACUGUUGCCAGCACGUUAUGGUGGGGACUCAGUGGAGACCGCCGGGGUCAACUCGGAGGAAGGUGGGGAUGACGUCAAGUCAUCAUGCCCCUUAUGUCCAGGGCUUCACGCAUGCAACAAUGGCUGGUACAGAGAGUGGCGAGCCUGUGAGGGUGAGCGAAUCUCGGAAAGUCGGUCUCAGUUCGGAUUGGGGUCUGCAACUCGACCUCAUGAAGUCGGAGUCGCUAGUAAUAGCAGACCAGCAACGCUGCGGUGAAUACGUUCCCGGCCCU